Molecule: ribosomal RNA, 562 nt
Filed under: uncultured archaeon
Lineage: Archaea
Description: bacterial SSU rRNA
Rfam family: Archaeal small subunit ribosomal RNA
Source: RNAcentral
AUUCGCCCUUGGGGGUGCCCAGGCGCGAAAACUUUACAAUGCCGGCAACGGCAAUAAGGGAACCUCGAGUGCCAGGUUAUAAAUCUGGCUGUCGUGAUGCCUAAAAAGCAUUGCAUAGCAAGGGCCGGGCAAAACCGGUGCCAGCCGCCGCGGUAACACCGGCGGCUCGAGUGGUAACCGUUAUUAUUGGGUCUAAAGGGUCUGUAGCCGGCCGGAUAAUUCUCUUGGGAAAUCCACCAGCUCAACUGUUGGGCUUCCAGGAGAUACUGUCUGGCUCGAGGCCGGGAGAGGUGAAAGGUACUUCAGGGGUAGGGGUGAAAUCUUGUAAUCCUUGAAGGACCACCAGUGGCAAAGGCGUCUCACCAAAACGGACCUGACGGCAAGGGACGAAAGCUAGGGGCACGAACCGGAUUAGAUACCCGGGUAGUCCUAGCCGUAAACGAUACUCGCUAGGUGUCGGCCACGGUGCGACCGUGGUCGGUGCCGUAGGGAAGCCGUGAAGCGAGCCACCUGGGAAGUACGGCCGCAAGGCUGAAACUUAAAGGAAUUGGCGGGGGAGCAC